GACGAACGCUGGCGGCGUGCUUAACACAUGCAAGUCGAACGGACAGACCCUGCUUUUGUGGGGUUCUCGAUUGGCGCACGGGUGAGUAAAACGUGAGUAACAUGCCCUUGAAUGUGGGAUAACUUCAGGAAACUGGGGCUCAUACCGGGUAGAAGCUCCUGCUGCAUGGUGUUGGUUAGAAAGAUUCGGCUGUUGGGGAUGGACUCGCGGCUUAUCAGCUUGAUGGGCGGGUAGUGGCUUACCAAGGCUUAGACGGGUAGCCGGCAUGAGAGGGGGACCGGCCACCAGGGUACUGAGAUACGGCCCAGAAGCGUAUCGGACGCAGUAGGGGGGAACAUUGCACAACGGCGGGAAGUCUGAGGUAGCAAUCUCCGGUGCGGGAUGCUCUGCUAUUGGGUGAGAACAAAUUUCUACGGAGCUGUAGAGUGCUUGACGGUACCUGGUCAAGAAGCCCCGGCUAACUACGUG
This 468-nucleotide ribosomal RNA is filed under the name uncultured bacterium. Its description in RNAcentral is "partial 16S ribosomal RNA". It matches the Rfam family "Bacterial small subunit ribosomal RNA", at positions 28 to 507 of the family's 1533-position model. The record is from RNAcentral.